RNAcentral lists this unclassified non-coding RNA (1468 nucleotides) under uncultured fungus. RNAcentral's name for it is "sequence contains 18S rRNA gene, ITS1, 5.8S rRNA gene, ITS2, 28S rRNA gene". The stretch from base 524 to 1468 matches the Rfam family "Eukaryotic large subunit ribosomal RNA", at positions 1 to 961 of the family's 3401-position model. The record is from RNAcentral. Lineage: Eukaryota; Fungi.
GGAAGGAUCAUUACCGAGUGCGGGUCCUUUGGGCCCAACCUCCCACCCGUGUCUAUUGUACCUGUUGCUUCGGCGGGCCCGCCGCUUGUCGGCCGCCGGGGGGGCAUCUCUGCCCCUCGGGCCCGUGCCCGCCGGAGACACCAACACGAACACUGUCUGAAAUCGUGAAGUCUGAGUCGAUUGUUUUCAAUCAGUUAAAACUUUCAACAAUGGAUCUCUUGGUUCCGGCAUCGAUGAAGAACGCAGCGAAAUGCGAUAACUAAUGUGAAUUGCAGAAUUCAGUGAAUCAUCGAGUCUUUGAACGCACAUUGCGCCCCCUGGUAUUCCGGGGGGCAUGCCUGUCCGAGCGUCAUUGCUGCCCUCAAGCCCGGCUUGUGUGUUGGGUCGCCGUCCCCCUGUCUGGGGGGACGGGCCCGAAAGGCAGCGGCGGCACCGCGUCCGAUCCUCGAGCGUAUGGGGCUUUGUCACAUGCUCUGUAGGAUUGGCCGGCGCCUGCCGACAACUCCAACCUUUUUUUCCAGGUUGACCUCGGAUCAGGUAGGGAUACCCGCUGAACUUAAGCAUAUCAAUAAGCGGAGGAAAAGAAACCAACCGGGAUUGCCUCAGUAACGGCGAGUGAAGCGGCAAGAGCUCAAAUUUGAAAGCUGGCUCCUUCGGAGUCCGCAUUGUAAUUUGCAGAGGAUGCUUUGGGUGCGGCCCCCGUCUAAGUGCCCUGGAACGGGCCGUCAGAGAGGGUGAGAAUCCCGUCUUGGGCGGGGUGUCCGUGCCCGUGUAAAGCUCCUUCGACGAGUCGAGUUGUUUGGGAAUGCAGCUCUAAAUGGGUGGUAAAUUUCAUCUAAAGCUAAAUACUGGCCGGAGACCGAUAGCGCACAAGUAGAGUGAUCGAAAGAUGAAAAGCACUUUGAAAAGAGAGUUAAACAGCACGUGAAAUUGUUGAAAGGGAAGCGCUUGCAACCAGACUCGCCCGCGGGGUUCAGCCGGCAUUCGUGCCGGUGUACUUCCCCGUGGGCGGGCCAGCGUCGGUUUGGGCGGCCGGUCAAAGGCCCCUGGAAUGUAGUGCCCUCCGGGGCACCUUAUAGCCAGGGGUGCAAUGCGGCCAGCCUAGACCGAGGAACGCGCUUCGGCUCGGACGCUGGCAUAAUGGUUGUAAACGACCCGUCUUGAAACACGGACCAAGGAGUCUAACAUCUACGCGAGUGUUCGGGUGUCAAACCCGUGCGCGCAGUGAAAGCGAACGGAGGUGGGAGCCCCCUCGUGGGGCGCACCAUCGACCGAUCCUGAUGUCUUCGGAUGGAUUUGAGUAAGAGCGUAAAUGUGGGGACCCGAAAGAUGGUGAACUAUGCCUGAAUAGGGCGAAGCCAGAGGAAACUCUGGUGGAGGCUCGCAGCGGUUCUGACGUGCAAAUCGAUCGUCAAAUUUGGGUAUAGGGGCGAAAGACUAAUCGAACCAUCUAGUAGCUGGUUCCUGC